GCGCUCGUAGCUCAGUUGGAUAGAGCGUCGCCCUCCGGAGGCGAAGGCCAGGGGUUCAAAUCCUCUCGGGCGCACCA
This 77-nucleotide transfer RNA is filed under the name Holosporales bacterium. Its description in RNAcentral is "tRNA-Arg". It matches the Rfam family "tRNA". From Rfam's summary of the family: Transfer RNA (tRNA) molecules are approximately 80 nucleotides in length. Their secondary structure includes four short double-helical elements and three loops (D, anti-codon, and T loops). Lineage: Bacteria; Pseudomonadati; Pseudomonadota; Alphaproteobacteria; Holosporales. The record is from RNAcentral.